Molecule: microRNA precursor, 78 nt
Filed under: Schistosoma haematobium
Lineage: Eukaryota; Metazoa; Platyhelminthes; Trematoda; Strigeidida; Schistosomatidae
Description: mir-3492 microRNA precursor family
Rfam family: mir-3492 microRNA precursor family
Source: Rfam by way of RNAcentral
AGCUUUUCGAAUCCACGGUGAGAUUUCGUCAGACACCAACCCAUUAGGGCUGAUCAGACUUCCACGAUAAGUGAAGUU